AUUGAACGCUGGCGGCAUGCUUUACACAUGCAAGUCGAACGGUAACAGGUUAAGCUGACGAGUCGCGAACGGGUGAGUAAUGCAUCGGAACGUGCCCGAUCGUGGGGGAUAACGCAGCGAAAGCUGCGCUAAUACCGCAUACGAUCUGAGGAUGAAAGCGGGGGACCGUAAGGCCUCGCGCGAUCGGUGCGGCCGAUGUCAGAUUAGGUAGUUGGUGGGGUAAAGGGUCACCAAGCAGACGAUCUGUAGCUGGUAUGAGAGGACGACCAGCCACACUGGGACUGAGACACGGCCCAGACUCCUACGGGAGGCAGCAGUGGGGAAUUUUGGACAAUGGGCGAAAGCCUGAUCCAGCAAUGCCGCGUGCAGGAAGGAGGCCUUCGGGUUGUAAACUGCUUUUGUACGGAGCGAAAAGGCUCUCUCUAAUACAGGGGGCUCAUGACGGUACCGUAAGAAUAAGCACCGGCUAACUACGUGCCAGCCGCCGCAGUAA
RNAcentral lists this ribosomal RNA (493 nucleotides) under uncultured bacterium. RNAcentral's name for it is "partial 16S ribosomal RNA". It matches the Rfam family "Bacterial small subunit ribosomal RNA", at positions 30 to 523 of the family's 1533-position model. The record is from RNAcentral.